CAUUCUGCGCACGCUCUAUCACGAGCACAUCGUCAAGUACAAGGGCUGCUGCGAGGACCAAGGCGAGAAGUCUCUGCAGCUGGUCAUGGAGUACGUGCCCCUGGGCAGCCUCCGAGACUACCUGCCCCGGCACAGCGUCGGGCUGGCCCAGCUGCUGCUCUUCGCCCAGCAGAUCUGCGAGGGCAUGGCCUAUCUGCACGCGCAGCACUACAUCCACCGAGACUUAGCCGCGCGCAACGUGCUGCUGGACAACGACAGGCUGGUCAAGAUCGGGGACUUUGGCCUAGCCAAGGCCGUGCCCGAAGGCCACGAGUACUACCGCGUGCGCGAGGAUGGGGACAGCCCUGUGUUCUGGUAUGCCCCAGAGUGCCUGAAGGAGUAUAAGUUCUACUAUGCGUCCGAUGUCUGGUCCUUCGGGGUGACCCUGUAUGAGCUGCUGACGCACUGUGACUCCAACCAGAGCCCCCCCACGACGGAGUUUCACACUUGUAGCCUAGGCUGGAGUGCAAUGGCACAAUCUCGGCUCACUGCAACCU
Molecule: small RNA, 536 nt
Filed under: Pongo abelii (Sumatran orangutan)
Lineage: Eukaryota; Metazoa; Chordata; Mammalia; Primates; Hominidae
Description: processed transcript
Source: RNAcentral